GUGACUGAAGUGUACCCGGUAGGCACGCCUGCCUGUGAAGCAGGAAGAAGGAGUUCGAAUCUCCUCAGUCACC
This 73-nucleotide transfer RNA is filed under the name Bremerella sp. RNAcentral's name for it is "tRNA-His". It matches the Rfam family "tRNA". From Rfam's summary of the family: Transfer RNA (tRNA) molecules are approximately 80 nucleotides in length. Their secondary structure includes four short double-helical elements and three loops (D, anti-codon, and T loops). Further hydrogen bonds mediate the characteristic L-shaped molecular structure. tRNAs have two regions of fundamental functional importance: the anti-codon, which is responsible for specific mRNA codon recognition, and the 3' end, to which the tRNAs corresponding amino acid is attached (by aminoacyl-tRNA synthetases). tRNAs cope with the degeneracy of the genetic code in two manners: having more than one tRNA (with a specific anti-codon) for a particular amino acid; and 'wobble' base-pairing, i.e. permitting non-standard base-pairing at the 3rd anti-codon position. The record is from RNAcentral. Lineage: Bacteria; Pseudomonadati; Planctomycetota; Planctomycetia; Pirellulales; Pirellulaceae. RNAcentral also lists the same sequence under 1 other name.